ACCAAAUUCACACGAAAUCAGCUUGUUCUCCGCUCAACCUUAUCUUCCUUCUCUGCCGAGCAGUGAUAAGCCCCCGUUCUGGGUUUGGUUCCGUGUUGUUCAGUGGCAGUCUCGACGUAUUCGAGUGUUCAACUAACUUUGUAAACCACGGAUAAGCCACGUUCAAUAUUAGUUUAAUUGACAUUUAAAUAUAUUCUUUAGUAGUUAUUUAUAUCAAAUCAAGUACUUAUUUUCAUUUAAAAUUUGUUAUGUGUAUUAGAAACACGGUGUGAAAUGUGUUAAGCACUUUCAUCUCAUGGGGAAAGAGGAAGGAGGAUAGAAAGGUGUAAAUCCAAGUCUGGAUUGGGUGAGGUUGGGUGCUCAGUGACCUCAACCAAUGACCGUGCAAAGGGGACGGCCAUGUCGCAAGGAUCUCACCACCAGGAAACACCCCCCGUCGCACCACCACCUCCAGCGCCAUGCAUUCCUCCCAUCAAAAAUUUACUUCUUCUAAAGUACGACCCCAUCAAGAUAUUGAGUCGACCUUCCCUAUUGGGAAGUUUGGGAGGACAUACUGCCACCAACCAAAUCAAGGCUAACCAUAACGUUGCGAAUCAACGGAUCGAGCCGGUGCCAAUUUUUUCGUCGUUGGGGGCGGCGAAUCCUGUCAUUAAGAAAAAGUUUCCUCCUCCGACAUGUACCAUCACAUCCGCGUCACAAGUUUCUGUAACCGACAAGGAUUCGAGCUUGAUGCCUCCGCCAAGAGCUCCAUCAGCACCGAGGGCGAAGCAGGCACGUUCGAUUAGUGUGGAAAGAGAACCACAACCAUCCACUUCGAAAAAGUGUAUGCAAGCAUAUUUGACAGCUUCAACAUCAUCCUCAUCUUCGUCGUCAUCCACAUAUGCAGCAGCAGCAGGAACGAACAAUAAUAUCACUAUCAACAACAGACGAAAACGUGGGUUUCCUUACAUGUAUUCUAAACUCGAUUUGGUGACGAAAAAGAAAAGGAAAGUUGUCAAGUAUGUAAACAAAAGAAGGAAAACGUGUUCCGCAAAGGCAUUGAGACUCGCAACGAUAUCAUUUGCGCAAAAGAGUUCGGCGUCGGCUGAAAGACUUAAAAAUAUGAAAAUGAAGUUGAAGAAAUAUACAAGAAAUUUAAGUACAAGGUAUCAAAGCAAAAAAGGCAAACCGAAAAUUAAGGUUAAAGUCAAAGGUCCAGGAAAAAAAGUGAAAGCGAAAGUGAAGAAAACUAGCGGACAACCAGAACAAAAAAGUCAACUGACCAUUGCUCAACGGGAGCAUAUGGCCGCAAUGACUCUUGCAAGAGGCUUCCGUGUUCCCGCGGACUUUUAUGCAAAACUGCUACAAAAAUUUAAGCAGGCUAACGAUAAGCAAAAAGGACAGAAAGUUAUAAAGAAAUCGGUUGGUAAGAAGAAGAAGAAGGUUGCUGGACGAGGUGGUGAUAAAAAGAAGAAGUUGCCAUUGCCAUUAAAUAUUAAAUGGUUUAGGAGAAAGGGCUCUUCACGAGGUAGGGGAGUCCCUUUCAAAAUACCUGAAAAUCAUCUGGUCAACCACACUAUCGAGUUGCUUCGCCACAAACGGGAUUUGCAAACUCGAGUAGAGCUUAUCGAUGAGGAGUCGGUGGUUUACAAGAUGGACGAGAUACCUAAGAUAAAGGAGCCGAUUCCCAAAGGCCAGCUAUUGAUUCCAAACAUUCCAAUCACUGGGGGGCAAGCGAAGGAGAUUAUUCAAAAUCGACUGCCGAUUUUACUCGCUCAUGGAGGAUAUACUCAUGUAAAUGAACGGCCACUUGAAGUCUUGGCCGAUGUAAUGGAAAAUUUCUACAUGAAAAUGGCUCAUAGAUUAAAACAAGUUCGAGAAAUGGAGAUGGCUGGUUGUGAACAAGAGUUUCCUGAUCCGCUGGAACGGGUUAUGGUGGAAAUGAAUCUUGGUGGAGUUCGUGGAGUAGAAGAGUAUUACACUUCUAGAGUUAUGGACUACCGGAAUCGCGUUGAAGAACAAUGCGCCCAUCUUCGAAAGCUAUACGCACAUAAGAUAAGAUUAAAGGUAGGAAUGGUUAUGUCUUCUUCAACGGGUAUUUGUUCUUCGUCUAGUUCAACUUCCACGUCGUCACACCCUAUCUCACCUGGAAACAGUGCGAUAAUGGAAAUUCUGUCUGGACUCGAGGGUCCGAAGGGUUCCUCAUACCUUUUCGACCGGGUGCAGAUUUCAAGACAGAAAAAUCGAAACAUGCCCCCGCCCCCAUCGUCCAAGUUCCCAUCCCACCUGCAACCCCAGGCCCAACUCUUAAAACGGUCCGCAGAUCCAAAAAUAGAAAACCACGUAACGAAGAUAAAUCAACAAAUACUUCACCUCCCAAAUUCAAAAUCAUUUUCAUCAAGUCAGAACCAGGUACAUCACCAUCCACAAAUGCAUCAGCAAAUACUUCACCUCCCAAAGUCACCAAGUCAAAACCAACUACAUCAUCAUCCACAAAUGCCACCUCCAAGUCACCAUCCAAACACUCUUCAAACUCCAAACAUAAAUCUGCCAGUGGUUCCUCUGCAGGGACAUCCAAACCUUCUUCCUCAACAACUUCAUCAUCCCACCGCCACCACAAAAGCAAAUCUUCAAAAACAAAUUCAGCAUCAACCUCCACAGCAGCAGCAGCAGCAGCAACAACAACAACAGCAACAACAACUGCGACAACAUCAAAAGGACACGCUUCAAAAAACGGUCCCACUCCUACCAUCACAAAUAACAACAACAAUAACUGUACCACCAACAAUAAGUCCAGCACCAGUGGUAACAAAAAUAGGCCACCAGCCCAACCUCUCAUCCCAAAAAAUCAACUCCCAACCAGCUCCCUUCGCAAGUAGUAUGGUCAGUAUUAAUUUAAACAACAAUGUAGACCUCGUCCCUAUGACUUCACCAAGUUCUUCGAGAACACCGACAUUAAAUGUAAACAAGAGCAUACUUACUUGUGGCAGUGGCGACUCUAAAACAAAAUUGAAAGAAGCUUUAAGUCAAAGAAAUUUGUUGAGGUUAAAUUUUGAACAAGUACCUUCCUCAUGCGAUUCUACGGUUCUACUCUCUUCAUCUUCGCCAUCCUUGUCCUCCAACAAUAGUCCUUCGAGCAAAGCUAAUAAUACGACAUCUUCAUCUCUUAGUCAGUCUACUCGGUUAAAAUUAUAAUCAUUACCUUCCAUAGUUUCAAAAUUGUGUAGAUACGCAAUGGGUGUAUGACCAUAGAUGAAUUUUAUUUUACAGUGACUAGCACGACGAACUAUAUUCAGUUGUUUGAGACAAGUUUUGCCAUCCUGUCGUUUCUUAACUACCUCGUUCGUACUUUAAACUAGAAUCAAUAUUUACACAUAAUUAUAUUGAAUGAGGAAUGUACGUAACAAGUUUUCUCCUUUGCCCUCAAAAAUAUUCACUUGAUUAUACAGGUUCAUGACUAGUUGUACGAAUCUGACCAUGUUUUUAUAUUAUUUAAUUUAAUCUCAUACUUUGACUCAUUAUCGUCAUUUUUAUUAAUUCUGAUAUAAUUGUCACAAAUAUUGAAAUGUGUUAGGAAUAUUUCGCACUGUGAGGAAUCUACCUUUUGUAUUACAUAUAUCCAACCAAGGCGUUCUUCCUGUUUGACUGGCGAAUCGAGACUAAUUGUAAGACGCUUGAAUUAAUAAUUAUGACACCGUUAUUAUAAUAAACUCGUUACAAUGUUACAUAAAUGUAUAACCCGCAGUCGAACCUCUUGUGUUUAUUUUUAAAAAUUACUUAAAACACACCGAAUUUUGAUUAUAUACAGUACGGUGAAAUAUAAAAAAUUACUUAAUUAUAUUAUAGCUAUCUAAUUAAAUUGAUAAAACAUUAUUUGCAGAUAUACUACAAUACAUAUAUAUCAGACUUUCGACAUUAUAUAGUAAUCAAUCAUGUUCAUUUCUUUUUUUAGUUUUUUUGUAUUUACUUUCCCUACAUUAAGAAAUAAUAUUUGCUUUGCUGCCGUACAUUUUGAUUGAAUCAACUCAUCAAGAUUUACUAAAAUGAACUAAUUAUUGACGCAAUCAAUUCAAGUUUGUGCAUAAAAAUGGCAAUUCGAUGAAGCCAAAGCAGAGAUUUGUAGAUUUACUUAAAUUGGGUGAUACUAUGCUACAUUACUUGCCGUUGUUGUUUAAUUCAUGUGUUGAUUCAGUAAUAUUAAUUAAUAUGCGAUUGAAUUAUUAAGUUACAAUUUAUUAUUAUUGGUUAUUUAGGAAAGAAGCAAAAAUUAUGUUGCUACACAAACAAACACGUAACAUAACGUAAUUACGCUACAAAAGCUGAUGAUUGUUGAAGUAAUAAAUACUAUGGAAUCUCAACAC
RNA transcript from Folsomia candida, 4340 nucleotides. RefSeq lists it as uncharacterized. Lineage: Eukaryota; Metazoa; Arthropoda; Collembola; Entomobryomorpha; Isotomidae. The record is from RefSeq and is a predicted model, not a curated record. The transcript has 6 exons.